AAGUCAUAACAAGGUCUCCGUAGGUGAACCUGCGGAGGGAUCAUUAAGGAUUGGCACGCAAGUGCUGUUCUCAAUACCACACCACACACCGUGCACUGUUAAUUGAAGGGGGUUGUAGUAAUACGACCUUCUGACCAUACCUAAACAAGAAGUCUUGAACGUACCAUAUUAUAACCUAAUAUAACUUUCAACAACGGAUCUCUUGGCUCUCGCAUCGAUGAAGAACGCAGCGAAUUGCGAUAAGUAAUGUGAAUUGCAGAAUUCCAGUGAAUCAUCGAAUCUUUGAACGCACCUUGCACCUUUUGGUACUCCGAAAGGUAUGCCUGUUUGAGUGUCUUUAACCUCUCACCUCUGACGGUUUUGUAGUAGAACCGUUCAGAUGCGUGGAUAUGGGCGCCUGCCUGGUGAACAACCUUAUGGCUCGCCUGAAAUGUAUUAGCUGGGAUCUGCAUGUCAGACCGGAGGCGUAAUAAGUUAUUCGUCUCGCGACUUGAUGGUGUAGCCUGCUUCUAAAUCAUUACACUUUUUUGAAAUCAGACCUCAAAUCAGGUAGGACUACCCGCUGAACUUAA
This 572-nucleotide ribosomal RNA is filed under the name uncultured fungus. RNAcentral describes it as "eukaryotic LSU rRNA". The stretch from base 183 to 337 matches the Rfam family "5.8S ribosomal RNA". Lineage: Eukaryota; Fungi. The record is from RNAcentral.